Molecule: long non-coding RNA, 964 nt
Organism: Diospyros lotus (date-plum)
Lineage: Eukaryota; Viridiplantae; Streptophyta; Magnoliopsida; Ericales; Ebenaceae
Exons: 5
Source: RefSeq, a predicted model, not a curated record
ACUUGCCCCUUUUCAUCUUCACACUCCCGCGCGAAACCCUCUUCAGUUCGCAGGCUCUCUCUCACUCUCCGUUUUCCGGAAGAGCACUCGUCGGGAUCUCUCUCUCUCUAUAUGCGUUAAUUCUUCGGCCAGGCAGUCGUUGAUCAAUACUCCUGGCCGUUUAUCCAUCACUGUUUCUCCGGCAAUAAAUCAACCUAUUGGCGAUUAACCUCUCGGAAGACGAAGGCAUUUUCUUGUGCAAAGAUGGCGUCGGAGGCGUAUCUGGGCAAAAUGUCUGUUCGCUAGAACUGCGAUCCUACCUGUGCUUUGCAUACAUCGUGAAUCCUCUCCUUUUUGAAAUGAGAAAUCGAGACCUAAAGUAAAGUGUUUCUUGCAAUUUGUGCUUGAAAUGGGCUAGAUUUGGUUGACAGAUCAGAAACGGCCCAAUGAUGAAUACAAAGGACUAUUGCUGUCAUUCAGGAUGGAUUUCAGCUAAAUUCUAUUGUCUAGAGUCUCAAAUUAAAAGGUCUACCUUAAAUCGACCAACUUGGCCAAGUGUUUGAAGGGUGCAUCCUCGGCAAGCAAUUACGGAGGAGUUUUCCAAAGGAGUCUUUAACAAGAACAACACCACUUGAGCUUGUGUAUCUGGAUGUUUGUGGCUCAAAUUGCCCUUCAUCUUUGGUAAUGAUCAGUAGUACUGGAGGAAGUGGGUCCCAGUGAAAAGGGUUCACACGAGGGGGCAAUUAAAGCUGUUCAAACUCCACGGGUUUUGCUGUGAUUUGGAACUCAGUGCUGUACGAUGAUGUCUUGUUCUUUUCUGUACUAUUCUUCCUAGUUUUUUCCUUUCUCAAGUUAAUACAAAAUGUGUGUGUGUGUGGGUGUGUGUGUAUUAAUCAUUCUAUAUAUCUAAAGAUAAACCAUUUACUAAAAUAUUCCAUUUAUCAUAAAACUAUCAGCACCACAUAUUUCUUCCAACACUUUCUGU